UGCAUUGUUCUGUGAUUUGCUUGAUUCUUGAGAGAAUUGGAGGAUCCAAGGCUAUAUUCAUGAUCAACACUGGUUUUCGAGUAAGGUGAAGGUUAUGAUUUGGUUUCUGAGAACCUCCGCCAUCGAGGACCGCCUCCGGCACGACGGAGGGGGGUAACGGAGCAUGAAAAUGAGUUAGAUGGAUGAGAGAUAGAUAGUUCGUGUUCAUUUUCUCGUCCUGAGUUUUUCGUUUUAUGACUUUUUUACCAUGUGUGUUUUAAUGUUACUUGAGUCCAUCGUCCACGCGCAUAACGUUCAUUGGAUUACAUUUGAUCGCAUUGACUGAUGCAGAUUUCUGUUAUUCAUUGAUGGUCCACUGCUGACUCAGAAGACACAUCACACAUUGCCUUAUUUGUUUCCCAUGAUUGCAAGUGUUGUAAUUUUGAUGGGCCAUGAUACUUUUUCUUUAUGCCAUUUUGCUAAUACUACAUUAUUUCAAUGGUGCACCCCCUGGUCUCAUCAUAAUUUUGAUUGGGCUUUAAGAUCUUAGGCCCACGCGCCCAUUACUUCUGCACCCAUAUUUGCAUAAUGUAAACCUCUCUGGACCAAUUAGUUUUUUAUUGAGUUUUCUUGCAUUUUCU
RNAcentral lists this long non-coding RNA (620 nucleotides) under Lathyrus oleraceus (garden pea). Its description in RNAcentral is "Pisum sativum (pea) long non-coding RNA (PSAT_LNC038398)". The record is from RNAcentral. Lineage: Eukaryota; Viridiplantae; Streptophyta; Magnoliopsida; Fabales; Fabaceae.